RNAcentral lists this long non-coding RNA (234 nucleotides) under Capsicum annuum. Its description in RNAcentral is "long non-coding RNA (CANN_LNC005353)". The record is from RNAcentral. Lineage: Eukaryota; Viridiplantae; Streptophyta; Magnoliopsida; Solanales; Solanaceae.
AAAAUUCCACAUAUAGCAAAAUUUAUAUAUGUUCAAAGUAGACCUUGUUGAAUCAAAUACCACACUUUGGACGAAUCAAAGGCUCUUAGCUCAACUUGGAUCUAAGUGAUUUAUAUGAACAUUUUUCACCUAGAAAACACUUCACACACUAAGAUAAUGAUCGUGAAACCUAUAUUCACAUGGGAAUAAUUUGGAUUAUAGCAUAUACACGUAGGAAUGAUGGUUAGAAUUCUA